Long non-coding RNA from Mustela erminea (ermine), 231 nucleotides. RefSeq lists it as uncharacterized. The transcript has 2 exons. Lineage: Eukaryota; Metazoa; Chordata; Mammalia; Carnivora; Mustelidae. The record is from RefSeq and is a predicted model, not a curated record.
UCAUGCAAGAACCAGACGUUGUUCCUCAUCAUCAUCUCCAACUACGUCAAAUUGAUAAUGGCAAAGGGCACUUUUAACCGAGUAGGGUUACCGGAGCACAGAUGUGACCUGUUCCCUUUGCAUUCUUUACGUAUCUCAGCAAGAUCUUUAUUCACAUUUGCUGAAUGGAGAAGGGAAGUAGACUGGCACCGACAGGUCAGAAAUGAUGAAAUCAAUAUCUAACAUGGCAGG